RNAcentral lists this unclassified non-coding RNA (329 nucleotides) under soil metagenome. RNAcentral's name for it is "partial contains 5.8S ribosomal RNA, internal transcribed spacer 2, and large subunit ribosomal RNA". The stretch from base 1 to 120 matches the Rfam family "5.8S ribosomal RNA", at positions 35 to 154 of the family's 154-position model. The record is from RNAcentral.
GAUGAAGAACGUAGCGAAAUGCGAUAAGUAAUGUGAAUUGCAGAAUUCAGUGAAUCAUCGAAUCUUUGAACGCACAUUGCGCCCCCUGGUAUUCCGGGGGGCAUGCCUGUUCGAGCGUCAUUACAACCCUCAAGCUCUGCUUGGUAUUGGGCCCCGCCAGUUCUGGCGGGCCCUAAAGUCAGUGGCGGUGCCUUCCGGCUCUGAGCGUAGUAAUUCUUCUCGCUCUGGAGACCCGGUUGUGUGCUUGCCAACAACCCCCAAUUUUUUAAGGUUGACCUCGGAUCAGGUAGGGAUACCCGCUGAACUUAAGCAUAUCAAUAAGCGGAGGA